RNAcentral lists this microRNA (21 nucleotides) under Nasonia vitripennis (jewel wasp). RNAcentral's name for it is "nvi-miR-3477". The record is from miRBase by way of RNAcentral. Lineage: Eukaryota; Metazoa; Arthropoda; Insecta; Hymenoptera; Pteromalidae.
CAUAUUACCUCGUGGGAUUUC